CACUCUUCUUCUUUCUCCUGUUAACCUUGUCGCCGCACCGUGGAGUUCUCCAUGGCCUUCACCUUGAGAUAUCCGGUGGAGAUCAGCGUGAUGGUUAUUUGUUUCACCGACGCAGAUUCUGCAGCUGCUGCAUGCGUGCGUCCGCAUCUGCCUUGGCUCCAUUCCAAGCAAAGCAAGAGGCCUUCUCCUUGCGGAAGACUUCUUCCCAAGCUUGCACGCAAAGCUUCUUCGGCUGAGGAAGUGGGAGGUCUUGUAAGAGGUGGUGUGUCGUCGCAUGGGCGGUGAAAUGCCGGUGUCGAUGUUACGUCUCCUCCUUAUUUUGUUUUAGCAGCCAAAAACCCCCCAUGGAUUGUGUUGAUCCAUCUAUUGGAGCCAUGACAUCUUUUAGGUUGAAGGAUUCAUCCCAACCACCGUUUCGACUAAUUUGAUGGACUUUACCUCGAA
This is a non-coding RNA of Musa acuminata subsp. malaccensis (wild Malaysian banana), 444 nucleotides long. The record is from RefSeq and is a predicted model, not a curated record. NCBI's taxonomy places the organism in Eukaryota, Viridiplantae, Streptophyta, Magnoliopsida, Zingiberales, Musaceae.